RNAcentral lists this ribosomal RNA (253 nucleotides) under uncultured bacterium. Its description in RNAcentral is "partial 16S ribosomal RNA". It matches the Rfam family "Bacterial small subunit ribosomal RNA", at positions 524 to 776 of the family's 1533-position model. The record is from RNAcentral.
UACAGAGACUGCAAGCGUUGUUCGGAUUCAUUGGGCGUAAAGGGUGCGCAGGCGGUUCGUUAAGUCGGAUGUGAAAUCUCACAGCCUAACCGUGAUAGGUCAUUCGAAACUGGCGGACUUGAGGGCGGGAGAGGAGAGUGGAAUAGUCGGUGUAGCGGUGAAAUGCGUAGAGAUCGGCAAGAACACCGGUGGCGAAGGCGAGUCUCUGGACAGUUCCUGACGCUCAGGCACGAAAGCCAGGGGAGCAAACGGG